Non-coding RNA from Brachypodium distachyon (stiff brome), 135 nucleotides. The record is from Rfam. NCBI's taxonomy places the organism in Eukaryota, Viridiplantae, Streptophyta, Magnoliopsida, Poales, Poaceae.
UUAUUACUCCCUCCAUCCAACAAAAGAUCUCUCAAGUUUGACCAAAUUUGAAUGCAUCUAUAUACUAAAUCAUGUCUAGAUACAUCUAAAUUUUGAAAACUUGAGACAUCAUUUGUUGGACGAAGGAAGUAUAAA